This is an RNA transcript of Panicum virgatum (switchgrass), 1474 nucleotides long. It is a transcript of the gene named E3 ubiquitin-protein ligase At1g63170-like, with no coding region annotated. The transcript is spliced from 6 exons. NCBI's taxonomy places the organism in Eukaryota, Viridiplantae, Streptophyta, Magnoliopsida, Poales, Poaceae. The record is from RefSeq and is a predicted model, not a curated record.
UCCGUCCCCAUUCCCUUCCCCUGGAACAAGCACUUCUCCUCCUGAUCUCCCACGGGUUCCCCUCGAUGGCGACGCCCCGCUCCCCAAGCCCCCGCGCCGACGCGCCCCUCGACUCGGCGCCGCUUCUGGGCGGCGCCACCGGCGGCGGGAGCCGGCGCCGAGGCGGCGCGCUCCGGCGGCCCUCCCUCCGCGGCGCGGCGCGGCUGCUACGCCGGGGCGGGCGGCGGGCGAUGCGGGAGCCGUCGGUGCUGGUGCGGGAGGCCGCGGCGGAGCACCUUGAGGAGCGGCAGGCGGACUGGGCCUACUCCCGCCCCGUCGUGGCGCUCGACCUGCUCUGGAACCUCGCCUUCAUCACCGUCGCCGCGGUCGUGCUGGUGCUCAGCCGGGACGAGGACUCGCCCAUGCCGCUCCGGACCUGGGUCGCCGGCUACGCCCUCCAGUGCGUCGUCCACAUGGUCUGCGUCGCGAUAGAGUACCGGAUGCGCCACGGCCCGCGCGGUGGAGGCCCAGCGCCCGCCGACGAGGAAAGGGGCAGCGAUGGAUCGUCCUCGUCCAGCGACGAGGAUGACAGGGAGCUUGAUCGCCGUGGUCGCCGCACCGAUUACGCCAGUAUUGCAAAGCACUUGGAGUCUGCUAAUACGAUGUUCUCCUUCAUAUGGUGGAUAAUUGGAUUUUACUGGAUAUCUGCUGGAGGUGAAGAGGUUAUCCGGGAUGCACCUCAACUUUACUGGCUUUGCAUAGUCUUUCUGGCAUUUGAUGUGUUCUUUGUUGUAUUCUGUGUUGCUCUGGCUUGUAUCAUUGGUAUUGCUGUUUGUUGUUGCCUCCCUUGCAUCAUAGCAAUUCUCUAUGCAGUAUCUGAUCAGGAAGGGGCAUCUGAAGAUGAUAUUCGUCAAAUCCCAAGGUACAAAUUUCGGCGGACUGAUGAGCCUGAAAAGCAAGAUGUUGACCCCAUGGGGCCUUUUGGUGGAAUAAUGACAGAGUGUGGCACAAAUCAACCUAUUGAGAAAGUGCUUGCAGCUGAAGAUGCAGAGUGUUGUAUCUGCCUUUCGGCAUAUGACGACGGUGCAGAGCUGCGCGAACUCCCUUGUGGGCACCAUUUCCACUGCACAUGCAUCGAUAAGUGGCUGCACAUCAAUGCAACAUGCCCCCUGUGCAAGUACAACAUUCGGAAAAGCAGCAGUAGCAGUGGAAGUGAAGAAGUAUGAAUGUCCGCCCCUUGACAAUUCCAAUCCGUUUCGACUUUGUGCCUGUGCCGUUGCUAAUAUGACUCCAGGUUGUGUCCGGUGUAAAUUUUUGUAUCCAAAUGUGCUGAUAGAGUCAAUCAAUUAUGUACUAAAGUUACUCAAAGUGCUGUCCAUAUGUCGCAUAAGUUAAUAAAUAGUUGGGUGUGCACCUGUACUUACAGUCGGGAAUAUAUGUUGGUAGGACCGUUACUUCUAUCCUAUGAGUGAUCGAGGCUUCUUCCUGCUUGUUA